RNAcentral lists this transfer RNA (75 nucleotides) under Candidatus Comamonas equi. Its description in RNAcentral is "tRNA-Val". It matches the Rfam family "tRNA". Rfam says of the family: Transfer RNA (tRNA) molecules are approximately 80 nucleotides in length. The record is from RNAcentral. Lineage: Bacteria; Pseudomonadati; Pseudomonadota; Betaproteobacteria; Burkholderiales; Comamonadaceae.
GCGUGAUUAGCUCAGCGGUAGAGCACUGCCUUCACACGGCAGGGGUCACAUGUUCGAUCCAUGUAUCACUCACCA